This 292-nucleotide ribosomal RNA is filed under the name uncultured bacterium. Its description in RNAcentral is "partial 16S ribosomal RNA". It matches the Rfam family "Bacterial small subunit ribosomal RNA", at positions 505 to 796 of the family's 1533-position model. The record is from RNAcentral.
GUGCCAGCAGCCGCGGUAAUACGUAGGGGGCAAGCGUUGUCCGGAUUUAUUGGGCGUAAAGAGCGUGUAGGCGGUUCGGUAGGUCCGUUGUGAAAACUCGAGGCUCAACCUCGAGACGCCGAUGGAAACCCCCGAACUAGAGUCCGGAAGAGGAGAGUGGAAUUCCUGGUGUAGCGGUGAAAUGCGCAGAUAUCAGGAAGAACACCCGUGGCUAAGGCGGCUCUCUAGUACGGUACUGACGCUGAGACGCGAAAGCGUGGGGAGCGAACAGGAUUAGAUACCCUGGUAGUCC